RNAcentral lists this long non-coding RNA (1299 nucleotides) under Helianthus annuus (common sunflower). Its description in RNAcentral is "hypothetical non coding rna". Lineage: Eukaryota; Viridiplantae; Streptophyta; Magnoliopsida; Asterales; Asteraceae. The record is from RNAcentral.
UUUCUUUCUCUCUCUCUCUUCACUAUUCUUUCUGGGUAAAAAUCAACGAGAAGCACCAAAUUUCUCCAUUGUUAUUCUUGCAACCUCUUUGGAUUCCAAAAUGUUGAGCAACCGUCAUCAAUAAAGGAUUGUCAGCAGCAGCAUUAUAUCCGGCAGAGGUAUAACCGCCGGUUUUCAUACAGAUCCGGUGGCUGUCACUAGAUUGAUGAGGUUUUGGUUGGGAUUCGCGACUGGGUGCUCAAUUUCAGGAAAACUAGGGUUUGGUAAGUGGAGAUUCCAACGAUCUAGGGCAUAAGUAAGGUUUCUCCGGUCGACUUGAACUUCCAGCAAACAAACCUAGGGUUCUUCGGUCGACUUGAACUUCCAGCAAUCAAACCUAGGGUUCCGGCGAAAGACCUGAUUUUCUGGUCUGUGAACGGCGGCAUCUAAAACCAUAAGGUGUUUGGAAUGGAAGUUGGAACACAAUGGAUUUUGUGGGAAUUUAGUUAAAUAGGAAACCAGUGAGAUUGCUGUCACAACAUAAACAGGAACAACCUGAUACACAAUGGGACCUUUAUUGAAUUUCGAAGUGGGAUGAUUAACGUUUCACCAAUCGGGCGAAACUGCAGCCAAGAAGAAAGAGAUGAAUUUGAGAGAUAUGAUAAGGUAGUUCUUUAUAAACCCUAAAGAGUGGGGGAUUUAGAGUUUGCAUUUGAACCUCCAAGUGAUGAGGAAAUCGAUUAUGACGAUGUUAGCAGCGGUGGAGAAGACGACGAAGAAGAAAACAACGGUGUAGAAGAAAAAAUAACUAAAAAGAAGACACAGUCUCCGUGGGACUUUUCUUCUUACACUGAAUCAAUUGCAGAGGAACACGCUCGCAGAAGCACUAUAUUGAUGAAAAAGUUUCGAAGCUUAUCCAACAGCGUGGUCAUGCGAAAAUAAUACCAGAAAAAGAUGAGGUUGAUGAAGAUGGCUCUUCUGAUUCUGAGCCAGACCGUCAGGUGAAUUGAGUAACAGAGUGAGAGGAUGAAAACGAAUGAAAACGAAUGAUGACGUCUGACAGUAAUAAUAUUAAGUAUUAGCAUAAAUUAAGUUCAUGUGUGGAAUCAUCCUCGAUGCCAAAUGUAUUGUCAGUUUCAACACUUAAUGUAGCUCCACUUUCGUUUUCAAUGAAUCAUCGAGUCGGGGGUGAUGGCGAACAUUUAUAUGCUUUUUAAACAUUGGUUUUUUUGAACAUUUCAGUUUGUUUGACGUGGUUGUUUGAUCUUUAUAUGCUUUUUUUUAAUAUACAUAUGAAUAAAUCUAUCCUUUUUAUUUUUU